Molecule: ribosomal RNA, 1496 nt
Filed under: uncultured bacterium
Lineage: Bacteria
Description: bacterial SSU rRNA
Rfam family: Bacterial small subunit ribosomal RNA
Source: RNAcentral
UCAUGGCUCAGAUUGAACGCUGGCGGCAGCCCUAACACAUGCAAGUCGAACGGUAACAGGAAGCAGCUUGCUGCUUCGCUGACGAGUGGCGGACGGGUGAGUAAUGUCUGGGAAACUGCCUGAUGGAGGGGGAUAACUACUGGAAACGGUAGCUAAUACCGCAUAACGUCGCAAGACCAAAGAGGGGGACCUUCGGGCCUCUUGCCAUCGGAUGUGCCCAGAUGGGAUUAGCUAGUAGGUGGGGUAACGGCUCACCUAGGCGACGAUCCCUAGCUGGUCUGAGAGGAUGACCAGCCACACUGGAACUGAGACACGGUCCAGACUCCUACGGGAGGCAGCAGUGGGGAAUAUUGCACAAUGGGCGCAAGCCUGAUGCAGCCAUGCCGCGUGUAUGAAGAAGGCCUUCGGGUUGUAAAGUACUUUCAGCGGGGAGGAAGGGAGUAAAGUUAAUACCUUUGCUCAUUGACGUUACCCGCAGAAGAAGCACCGGCUAACUCCGUGCCAGCAGCCGCGGUAAUACGGAGGGUGCAAGCGUUAAUCGGAAUUACUGGGCGUAAAGCGCACGCAGGCGGUUUGUUAAGUCAGAUGUGAAAUCCCCGGGCUCAACCUGGGAACUGCAUCUGAUACUGGCAAGCUUGAGUCUCGUAGAGGGGGGUAGAAUUCCAGGUGUAGCGGUGAAAUGCGUAGAGAUCUGGAGGAAUACCGGUGGCGAAGGCGGCCCCCUGGACGAAGACUGACGCUCAGGUGCGAAAGCGUGGGGAGCAAACAGGUUUAGAUACCCUGGUAGUCCACGCCGUAAACGAUGUCGACUUGGAGGUUGUGCCCUUGAGGCGUGGCUUCCGGAGCUAACGCGUUAAGUCGACCGCCUGGGGAGUACGGCCGCAAGGUUAAAACUCAAAUGAAUUGACGGGGGCCCGCACAAGCGGUGGAGCAUGUGGUUUAAUUCGAUGCAACGCGAAGAACCUUACCUGGUCUUGACAUCCACAGAACUUUCCAGAGAUGGAUUGGUGCCUUCGGGAACUGUGAGACAGGUGCUGCAUGGCUGUCGUCAGCUCGUGUUGUGAAAUGUUGGGUUAAGUCCCGCAACGAGCGCAACCCUUAUCCUUUGUUGCCAGCGGUCCGGCCGGGAACUCAAAGGAGACUGCCAGUGAUAAACUGGAGGAAGGUGGGGAUGACGUCAAGUCAUCAUGGCCCUUACGACCAGGGCUACACACGUGCUACAAUGGCGCAUACAAAGAGAAGCGACCUCGCGAGAGCAAGCGGACCUCAUAAAGUGCGUCGUAGUCCGGAUUGGAGUCUGCAACUCGACUCCAUGAAGUCGGAAUCGCUAGUAAUCGUGGAUCAGAAUGCCACGGUGAAUACGUUCCCGGGCCUUGUACACACCGCCCGUCACACCAUGGGAGUGGGUUGCAAAAGAAGUAGGUAGCUUAACCUUCGGGAGGGCGCUUACCACUUUGUGAUUCAUGACUGGGGUGAAGUCGUAACAAGGUAACCGU